GUGUUUAGACAUUGGCUUGUCCCAGUAGUGAUGUGUAGAGUUGUUUAGACAUUGACUUGUCCCAGUAGUGAUGUGUAGAGUUGUUUAGACAUUGACUUGUCCCAGUAGUGAUGUGUAGAGUUGUUUAGACAUUGGCUUGUCCCAGUAGUGAUGUGUAGAGUUGUUUAGACAUUGGCUUGUCCCAGUAGUGAUGUGUAGAGUUGUUUAGACAUUGACUUGUCCCAGUAGUGAUGUGUAGAGGUGUUUAGACAUUGGCUUGUCCCAGUAGUAAUGUGUAGAGUUGUUUAGACAUUGGCUUGUCCCAGUAGUGAUGUGUAGAGGUGUUUAGACAUUGGCUUGUCCCAGUAGUAAUGUGUAGAGUUGUUUAGACAUUGACUUGUCCCAGUAGUGAUGUGUAGAGGUGUUUAGACAUUGGCUUGUCCCAGUAGUGAUGUGUAGAGUUGUUUAGACAUUGACUUGUCCCAGUAGUGAUGUGUAGAGGUGUUUAGACAUUGGCUUGUCCCAGUAGUAAUGUGUAGAGGUGUUUAGACAUUGGCUUGUCCCAGUAGUGAUGUGUAGAGGUGUUUAGACAUUGGCUUGUCCCAGUAGUAAUGUGUAGAGGUGUUUAGACAUUGGCUUGUCCCAGUAGUGAUGUGUAGAGGUGUUUAGACAUUGGCUUGUCCCAGUAGUAAUGUGUAGAGGUGUUUAGACAUUGGCUUGUCCCAGUAGUGAUGUGUAGAGUUGUUUAGACAUUGACUUGUCCCAGUAGUGAUGUGUAGAGUUGUUUAGACAUUGACUUGUCCCAGUAGUGAUGUGUAGAGUUGUUUAGACAUUGACUUGUCCCAGUAGUGAUGUGUAGAGUUGUUUAGACAUUGGCUUGUCCCAGUAGUGAUGUGUAGAGUUGUUUAGACAUUGGCUUGUCCCAGUAGUGAUGUGUAGAGUUGUUUAGACAUUGACUUGUCCCAGUAGUGAUGUGUAGAGUUGUUUAGACAUUGGCUUGUCCCAGUAGUGAUGUGUAGAGUUGUUUAGACAUUGGCUUGUCCCAGUAGUGAUGUGUAGAGGUGUUUAGACAUUGACUUGUCCCAGUAGUGAUGUGUAGAGUUGUUUAGACAUUGACUUGUCCCAGUAGUGAUGUGUAGAGGUGUUUAGACAUUGGCUUGUCCCAGUAGUGAUGUGUAGAGUUGUUUAGACAUUGACUUGUCCCAGUAGUGAUGUGUAGAGUUGUUUAGACAUUGGCUUGUCCCAGUAGUGAUGUGUAGAGUUGUUUAGACAUUGACUUGUCCCAGUAGUGAUGUGUAGAGUUGUUUAGACAUUGACUUGUCCCAGUAGUGAUGUGUAGAGGUGUUUAGACAUUGGCUUGUCCCAGUAGUGAUGUGUAGAGUUGUUUAGACAUUGACUUGUCCCAGUAGUGAUGUGUAGAGUUGUUUAGACAUUGACUUGUCCCAGUAGUGAUGUGUAGAGUUGUUUAGACAUUGGCUUGUCCCAGUAGUGAUGUGUAGAGUUGUUUAGACAUUGACUUGUCCCAGUAGUGAUGUGUAGAGGUGUUUAGACAUUGGCUUGUCCCAGUAGUGAUGUGUAGAGUUGUUUAGACAUUGACUUGUCCCAGUAGUGAUGUGUAGAGUUGUUUAGACAUUGACUUGUCCCAGUAGUGAUGUGUAGAGUUGUUUAGACAUUGGCUUGUCCCAGUAGUGAUGUGUAGAGGUGUUUAGACAUUGGCUUGUCCCAGUAGUGAUGUGUAGAGUUGUUUAGACAUUGGCUUGUCCCAGUAGUGAUGUGUAGAGUUGUUUAGACAUUGGCUUGUCCCAGUAGUGAUGUGUAGAGUUGUUUAGACAUUGGCUUGUCCCAGUAGUGAUGUGUAGAGGUGUUUAGACAUUGGCUUGUCCCAGUAGUAAUGUGUAGAGGUGUUUAGACAUUGACUUGUCCCAGUAGUGAUGUGUAGAGGUGUUUAGACAUUGACUUGUCCCAGUAGUGAUGUGUAGAGUUGUUUAGACAUUGGCUUGUCCCAGUAGUGAUGUGUAGAGGUGUUUAGACAUUGGCUUGUCCCAGUAGUGAUGUGUAGAGGUGUUUAGACAUUGGCUUGUCCCAGUAGUGAUGUGUAGAGGUGUUUAGACAUUGGCUUGUCCCAGUAGUAAUGUGUAGAGGUGUUUAGACAUUGACUUGUCCCAGUAGUGAUGUGUAGAGUUGUUUAGACAUUGGCUUGUCCCAGUAGUGAUGUGUAGAGGUGUUUAGACAUUGGCUUGUCCCAGUAGUGAUGUGUAGAGUUGUUUAGACAUUGGCUUGUCCCAGUAGUGAUGUGUAGAGGUGUUUAGACAUUGACUUGUCCCAGUAGUGAUGUGUAGAGGUGUUUAGACAUUGACUUGUCCCAGUAGUGAUGUGUAGAGGUGUUUAGACAUUGACUUGUCCCAGUAGUGAUGUGUAGAGGUGUUUAGACAUUGACUUGUCCCAGUAGUGAUGUGUAGAGGUGUUUAGACAUUGACUUGUCCCAGUAGUGAUGUGUAGAGUUGUUUAGACAUUGGCUUGUCCCAGUAGUGAUGUGUAGAGGUGUUUAGACAUUGGCUUGUCCCAGUAGUGAUGUGUAGAGUUGUUUAGACAUUGACUUGUCCCAGUAGUGAUGUGUAGAGUUGUUUAGACAUUGACUUGUCCCAGUAGUGAUGUGUAGAGGUGUUUAGACAUUGGCUUGUCCCAGUAGUGAUGUGUAGAGUUGUUUAGACAUUGACUUGUCCCAGUAGUGAUGUGUAGAGGUGUUUAGACAUUGACUUGUCCCAGUAGUGAUGUGUAGAGUUGUUUAGACAUUGGCUUGUCCCAGUAGUGAUGUGUAGAGGUGUUUAGACAUUGACUUGUCCCAGUAGUGAUGUGUAGAGGUGUUUAGACAUUGGCUUGUCCCAGUAGUGAUGUGUAGUGGUGUACAGACAUGUUUUGGGGAUUUAGAUGUAUUACUUUUAAUGCUAGAAAGUGAGAGAGAAAAAUGUAUGUAUCAUAUACAUCAAUAAAAA
This is a long non-coding RNA of Oncorhynchus keta (chum salmon), 2972 nucleotides long. RefSeq lists it as uncharacterized. The record is from RefSeq and is a predicted model, not a curated record. Lineage: Eukaryota; Metazoa; Chordata; Actinopteri; Salmoniformes; Salmonidae. The transcript has 12 exons.